RNAcentral lists this ribosomal RNA (253 nucleotides) under uncultured bacterium. Its description in RNAcentral is "partial 16S ribosomal RNA". It matches the Rfam family "Bacterial small subunit ribosomal RNA", at positions 524 to 776 of the family's 1533-position model. RNAcentral also lists the same sequence under 1 other name. The record is from RNAcentral.
GACGAACCUGACAAACGUUAUUCGGAAUUACUGGGCUUAAAGGGUGCGUAGGCGGCGUAGCAAGUUGGGUGUGAAAUCCCUCGGCUCAACCGAGGAACUGCGCUCAAUACUGCUAUGCUCGAGGGAGACAGAGGUGAGCGGAACUUAGGGUGGAGCGGUGAAAUGCGUUGAUAUCCUAAGGAACACCGGUAGCGAAAGCGGCUCACUGGGUCUUUUCUGACGCUGAGGCACGAAAGCUAGGGUAGCGAACGGG